Mytilus californianus (California mussel) is the source of this 878-nucleotide long non-coding RNA. RefSeq lists it as uncharacterized. The transcript is spliced from 2 exons. Lineage: Eukaryota; Metazoa; Mollusca; Bivalvia; Mytilida; Mytilidae. The record is from RefSeq and is a predicted model, not a curated record.
GUGAAAGAAUUGAAAUUUGAGAAGAGAAAAAUUUUGCAAAUCAAAGAUUGCAUGGUCAGGCUUCCAACAUGCUUCAAACGGGCUAUGGAAAGAGUUUACAUACCAGAUAUCUGCUACCCGAUAAUCAAGUCUGCAUUCAAAGGAGCAGACAUUCUUCCCUGGUCUAUAUAGCUUCAUUGAAAGGAAUCAGACACAGAAAGUUUGGGGAAAUGAAAUUGAGAGUCACUGUGAAUAAUUCACACACAUGCUAGACAUAAAGAAAUGGCCAGACACAGGCUCAGCUAUAGAAUCUGUAUCAACUGGAAGCAACAGCAUUUUCAUCAGAAAACUAAAAGGGAUGUGAAAAACAUGAAACAUGCAUUUGGAAAUGUUCAGCCGCCAAACAAAUAGAUAUGCCAGGAAAUGCAAAUUGUUUGCUAAUAUAAAUGUCAAUGAUGUCUGUACAAAAGCAAAGAUAUAAAAGCCUUUUUCAUUUAUACAUGUAACAGUCAUAUACAAUACAGAUUUAAGACCAUCAGACAAUCUUUAAAUCUUUGGAAGCCACGGUACCUAGUCCAAGACAUUCCAUAUUUUCAACUCGUUAUGAAGACAUAUUUGACCAAUCUGGUUUCCAAUAGAAGUUUAAAAAUAAGUUCUACAUGUACAUAACACGAUGAUCACCAGCAAUGAAGGUGAUAUAGGAUAUAAUAUUCAAAGUAGAGAAUUAUAAAGUGAAUUUGAACCUCCCACCAUAAUAGCAUUCUGCACAUUUUGGAUCACAUAUGGAUCAAGCUGUUGUACUUGUGAACUAAAAGAUUGUUGCUUGGUUGUUGUCAGGUACAUUGUACAUGUUGACAGUGCUAUAUGUUCAUUAAAUAAAAUGCAGUUCAGAACAGUUA